UAAUGUCUGGGAAACUGCCUGAUGGAGGGGGAGUAACUACUGGAAACGGUAGCUAAUACCGCAUAACGUCGCAAGACCAAAGAGGGGGACCGUUCGGGCCUCUUGCCAUCGGAUGUGCCCAGAUGGGAGUUAGCUAGUAGGUGGGGUAAAGGCUCACCUAGGCGACGAUCCCUAGCUGGUCUGAGAGGAUGACCAGCCACACUGGAACUGAGACACGGUCCAGACUCCUACGGGAGGCAGCAUG
Molecule: ribosomal RNA, 244 nt
Filed under: uncultured bacterium
Lineage: Bacteria
Description: partial 16S ribosomal RNA
Rfam family: Bacterial small subunit ribosomal RNA
Source: RNAcentral